UACGUAGGGUGCGAGCGUUAAUCGGAAUUACUGGGCGUAAAGCGUGCGCAGGCGGUUCGUUGUGUCGGUGGUGAAAUCCCCGGGCUUAACCUGGGAAUGGCCAUGGAAACUGGCGAACUGGAGUGCGGCAGAGAGGGGUGGAAUUCCGCGUGUAGCAGUGAAAUGCGUAGAGAUGCGGAGGAACACCGAUGGCGAAGGCAGCCCCCUGGGCUAGCACUGACGCUCAGGCACGAAAGCGUGGGGAGCAAACAGG
RNAcentral lists this ribosomal RNA (253 nucleotides) under uncultured bacterium. RNAcentral describes it as "partial 16S ribosomal RNA". It matches the Rfam family "Bacterial small subunit ribosomal RNA", at positions 524 to 776 of the family's 1533-position model. The record is from RNAcentral.